UAUGGGCACGGUGGGGAUGGGAGGAGGUUGGACUUGGGGGUGUUGGAGGAUCUUUCCAACCUGGAUGGUUCUAUGGGCACGGUGGGGAUGGGAGGGGGUUGGACUUGGGGGUCUUGGAGGACCUUCCCAACCUGGAUGGUUCUGUGGGCACGGAGGCGAUGGGUUGGGGUCAGACUUGGGGGUCUUGGAGGAUCUUUCCAACCUGGAUGGUUCUAUGGGCACGGCAGCAAUGGGAGGGGGUUGGACUUGGGGGUCUUGGAGGACCUUCCCCACCUGGAUGGUUCUGUGGGCACAGCGGUGAUGGGAGGGGUCACACUUGGGGGUCUUGAAGGACCUUUCCAACCUGGAUGGUUCUGUGGCCAUGGUGGGGAUGGAAGGGGGUUGGACUUGGGGGUCUUGGAGGACCUUCCCAACCUUGAUGGUUCUGUGGCCAUGGUGGGGAUGGGUUGGGGUUGGGCAUGGUGGGGGUCUUGGAGGACCUUCCCCACCUGGAUGGUUUUAUGGGCACGGUGGGGAUGGGAGGGGGUUGGACUUGGGGGUCUUGGAGGACCUUUCCAACCUGGAUGGUUCUAUGGGCACAGUGGGGAUGGGCUGGGGUCAGACUUGGGGGUCUUGGAGGACCUUCCCAACCUGGAUGGUUCCAUGGCCAUGGUGGGGAUGGAAGGGGGUUGGACUUGGGGGUCUUGAAGGACCUUUCCAACCUGGAUGGUUCCGUGGGCAUGGCAGCAAUGGAAGGGGGUCAGACUUGGGGGUCUUGGAGGACCAUCCCAACCUGGAUGGUUCUGUGGGCAUGGUGGGGAUGGGUUGGGGUUGGGCAUGGUGGGGGUCUUGGAGGACUUCCCCAACCUGGAUGGUUCCAUGGGCACAGCGGUGAUGGGGGGAUUGGACUUGGGGGUCUUGGAGGACUUUUCCAACCGUGAUGGUUCCAUGGCCAUGGUGGGGAUGGGUACGUGGGCAUGGUGGGGAUGUGCAGCACGCAGCACGCAGCACACAGCAGCAUGCAGCACCCAGCACGCAGCACAUAGCAUGCAGCAGCACCCAGCACCCAGCAUGCAGCAGCACCCAGCACGCAGCACCCAGCACGCAGCACGCAGCACCCAGCAUGCAGCACCCAGCACCCAGCAGCACCCAGCACCCAGCACGAAGCACACAGCACCCAGCACCCACGCAGCAUGCAGCAGCACACAGCACCCAGCACGCAGCAGCACCCAGCACCCAGCAUGCAGCAGCACCCAGCACGCAGCACCCAGCACGCAGCACCCAGCACCCAGCACGAAGCACACAGCAUGCAGCACCCAGCACCCAGCACCCAGCACGCAGCACCCAGCACGCAGCACCCAGCAC
This 1344-nucleotide long non-coding RNA is filed under the name Numida meleagris (helmeted guineafowl). RNAcentral describes it as "lncRNA (ENSNMEG00000019533.1)". The record is from RNAcentral. Lineage: Eukaryota; Metazoa; Chordata; Aves; Galliformes; Numididae.